GACAGAGGGGGCAAGCGUUGCUCGGAAUUACUGGGCGUAAAGGGCGCGUAGGCGGGAUGGCAAGUCGGUCGUGAAAUCCCUCGGCUCAACCGAGGAACGUCGAUCGAUACUGCUGUUCUUGAGGAUUGCAGAGGAGACUGGAAUUCCCGGUGUAGCGGUGAAAUGUGUAGAGAUCGGGAGGAACACCGGUGGCGAAGGCGGCUUCCUGGACUGGUUCUGACGCUGAGGCGCGAAAGCUAGGGGAGCAAACAGG
This 253-nucleotide ribosomal RNA is filed under the name uncultured prokaryote. Its description in RNAcentral is "partial 16S ribosomal RNA". It matches the Rfam family "Bacterial small subunit ribosomal RNA", at positions 524 to 776 of the family's 1533-position model. The record is from RNAcentral.